This 215-nucleotide long non-coding RNA is filed under the name Sorghum bicolor (sorghum). RNAcentral's name for it is "long non-coding RNA (SBIC_LNC006515)". Lineage: Eukaryota; Viridiplantae; Streptophyta; Magnoliopsida; Poales; Poaceae. The record is from RNAcentral.
CCCUUUUACUGCAGUUCUUUGCAUUCUUACAGAUUCAUUUACUCAGCACAUUUUUCUUUGUUUUUUCAAUCUUUUUUGAUCUCCAACCUUUAGGAUCUAAAUGAUAAGAUUGUUAUUCCUACUGAGCAACCUCACCUUCAAUGCCUGGGUCCAAUGGGCAAUCCAGAUCCCACUGAUUUAAUCAACGCAGAAACCAACCAAAUCCCCUUUAGAGU